Molecule: unclassified non-coding RNA, 315 nt
Filed under: Hevea brasiliensis (rubber tree)
Lineage: Eukaryota; Viridiplantae; Streptophyta; Magnoliopsida; Malpighiales; Euphorbiaceae
Source: RNAcentral
UCUGCAUUCCCAUUUGGAAGUGGUCCAUUGUCAGCACUUGUUGCACCAUUUGCAUUAACAUCUAAUUGGUUUACAUUGCUUUGACCAAAGUUUGAUAUAUCCUUUGAGCUUGUCUGGGACAUGCGCGACUCUUCAGGGUAGGUUCCACUCCUUUCUUUUGCAUCAGCUAGCUCAAGAUGAAGCUGUUGUACAGUAUGCAAAUGAAGUCUCUCCAUUUCUGCUAACUGUCUUUGACAACCGUAAUUGAUUAUAUUGCUCUGUGCGUUCUCGUAAUUCAACUUGUAAUGAGUGGUUUGUAGUAGAUUGCAAGGCAUC